UACAGGGAGACCUACUUCAUCAGGACCUGACCCAAACUUUAGGGUCCGAUGGAAGUCAUCCCAAAGGUCGGUCGAGGUAGCAAGUAAUGGUUUUCAAACUAUUUGCAGGUUCGGGACAUGGGCUAUUAGCUCAGGUGGUUAGAGCGCACCCCUGAUAAGGGUGAGGUCCCUGGUUCGAGUCCAGGAUGGCCCACCUGAAACUAGUGAUAAACCUUGAGUUGCGAUAAGGUUUGAAACUAAUUUCAAGGGGGUAUAGCUCAGUUGGUAGAGCGCUGCCUUUGCAAGGCAGAUGUCAGCGGUUCGAGUCCGCUUACCUCCACUGAAAGUUAACCAGUUAAAACCUGGCUUUCAGCGGCUACCGUAAAAACCGAGUCAAUCAGUUUCAUCUCUUGUACCUCCGAGGUCACAAUAUGCUACAUUAGUAGCCUGUGGGGUAAAUAGGUAUUGCGUGUCAACAACCUUGACACUACCUUACAUAUAACCUUCAGCACCUACUCUAGAGAAAUACUAGAUGGCCUGCUGGAUGUUUAGUCCAGUGAGAACCUUGAAAACUGCAUAGCAAUAGUCAUAAGCCAACUGUAAAGGCUCAAGUUAAUCUUGAGUACUUGCAAGCAGGUAGAUAUCGAAAUAGACACUAAGUAAAAGU
Molecule: transfer RNA, 646 nt
Filed under: coccoid cyanobacterium ATA8-1-RM1
Lineage: Bacteria; Bacillati; Cyanobacteriota
Description: 16S-23S ribosomal RNA intergenic spacer
Rfam family: tRNA (bases 247-319)
Source: RNAcentral